GAGGGCGACCGGCCACACUGGGACUGAGGACACGGCCCAGACUCCUACGGGAGGCAGCAGUGGGGAAUAUUGCACAAUGGGCGAAAGCCUGAUGCAGCGACGCCGCGUGAGGGAUGACGGCCUUCGGGUUGUAAACCUCUUUCAGCAGGGAAGAAGCGAAAGUGACGGUACCUGCAGAAGAAGCGCCGGCUAACUACGUGCCAGCAGCCGCGGUAAUACGUAGGGCGCGAGCGUUGUCCGGAAUUAUUGGGCGUAAAGAGCUCGUAGGCGGCUUGUCGCGUCGGUUGUGAAAGCCCGGGGCUUAACCCCGGGUCUGCAGUCGAUACGGGCAGGCUAGAGUUCGGUAGGGGAGAUCGGAAUUCCUGGUGUAGCGGUGAAAUGCGCAGAUAUCAGGAGGAACACCGGUGGCGAAGGCGGAUCUCUGGGCCGAUACUGACGCUGAGGAGCGAAAGCGUGGGGAGCGAACAGGAUUAGAUACCCUGGUAGUCCACGCCGUAAACGGUGGGCACUAGGUGUGGGCGACAUUCCACGUCGUCCGUGCCGCAGCUAACGCAUUAAGUGCCCC
Molecule: ribosomal RNA, 565 nt
Filed under: Streptomyces sp. MDRC-4
Lineage: Bacteria; Bacillati; Actinomycetota; Actinomycetes; Kitasatosporales; Streptomycetaceae
Description: bacterial SSU rRNA
Rfam family: Bacterial small subunit ribosomal RNA
Source: RNAcentral